Molecule: RNA transcript, 4117 nt
Organism: Prosopis cineraria
Lineage: Eukaryota; Viridiplantae; Streptophyta; Magnoliopsida; Fabales; Fabaceae
Gene name: DEAD-box ATP-dependent RNA helicase 42
Exons: 4
Source: RefSeq, a predicted model, not a curated record
UUCUCGUGAGUAGCGGAUUCAGCUCUCUUCGUCGACGAACAAGCAUUCCGCACUCCGUGGGACACCGUCCACCGUUAUCAGCCCUGCGUGGUUGAUCUCGGGCAAGCAGCGAAGAACGUUAGAACCCUAGGGCUUUUUCUACUCCCAAAAUCCGGAGAAAACAAUGGAUGAGGGAAAGCGUAAAUCUAGGAAGGAAGAUUAUGAAGGGAAGGAAGAGGAUUCCAAAAGGAGUCGCCGUGAACGAGAUCGUGAGAAGACUGGUGAUAAAGUUAAGGAUAGAAGUGAAGGGAGGCAUAGGGAUAGAGAGAAGAGAGAUCGUGAGAGCCGACGCUAUGAGAGAGAGAAAAGCAGUGAUUCUGAUGAAAGAUUUGAUAGAGAAAGAGAGAAGCAUAGAGACAAGGAUAAGGAUAGGACACGAGUUCAUGAUGAAGAAAGAGAAAGAGCUCGAGACAAGAAAAGGGAAAGAGACAAGGAAGAAAGGGAAAGGGAGAGGAGAGAUAGGAGGGAGAAGGAAAGAGAGAAAGAAAGGGAGAAGGAUAGAGAAAGGGAACGGGAUCGAAGAGAGCGUGAAAGGGAGAGGGAAGUGGAAAGAGAAAGGGGGAGGAGAGUAAAAGAGAGGGAGAAGCGUAAGGAAGUUGAUAGUGAGUGUAGUGAUGAUGAUUCAAGGGAUAAAGAAAGAAAGCGGCACAAGAAAGAUGAUGAUGAUUACAAGGGUAGAGAGCAGGAGAAGAGUGGUAGCAAGUCAAGUAGGCAAACUGAGAACAUUGAGGAGGGCCCAAGGAAAAAGAGUGGAAAUGAUAACUCAGAUGCUAAUGAAAGCAAACCAAGUCGUGAGGAGGAGUUAGAGGAUGAACAUAGGAGGUUGGAUGAAGAGAUGGAAAAGAGGAGAAGGAGAGUUCAGGAAUGGCAGGAGUUGAGAAGGAAGAGGGAGGAAGCUGAGAGAGAAAAGCGUGGUGAAGCAAGUGCUGAUGAACCCAAGUUUGGAAAGGCCUGGACACUUGAAGGGGAAUCUGAUGAUGAAGAAGGAACCACUACAGGGAAGCCAAAUACAUCUAUGGACGUAGAUGAAGAUGACAAACCUUCGGAUAAAGAACCUAAGGAUUCGAUGGCAGUAGAUGUUAGUAAUGGACCUGUUACUUCUAAUUUACAUGAUGAGACUGAUGGUUCUCAUGCAGAUGAGGAGAUUGAUCCAUUGGAUGCUUUCAUGAGUUCUAUGGUUUUGCCUGAAGUUGAGAAGCUGAGUAGUUCUGUGGCUCCCGAAUCUUCUAAUCAAACUUCUGACUCAAAGCCCAAAGGUAACAAGGAUGAGCAAAGUAAUGGUAGGAACCCUAGGAAAGGGUCAAAUAAAUCAAUUGGGAGAAUAAUUCCUGGUGAAGAGUCUGACUUAGAUUAUGAAGACCUUGAAAUUGAGGAUGAUCCAUUAGAUGAAGAUGAUGAUGAAUUCAUGAAAAGAGUAAAGAAAACCAAAGCUGAGAAACUUUCUAUUGUUGACCACUCAAAGAUUGAUUAUAAGCCAUUCAAGAAAAAUUUUUAUAUUGAAGUAAAGGAGAUUGCCAAGAUGACUCCUGAAGAAGUUGCAGCAUAUAGGAAGGAGUUGGAGUUGAAGAUACAUGGAAAGGAUGUACCAAAGCCUGUAAAAUCAUGGAAUCAGAUUGGACUUACUAGCAAAAUUUUGGAGACAAUAAAGAAGCUUAAUUAUGAAAAGCCAAUGACUAUUCAAGCUCAAGCACUCCCUGUAAUUAUGAGCGGUAGAGAUUGCAUUGGAAUUGCUAAAACUGGGUCAGGUAAAACCCUUGCUUUUGUUCUGCCAAUGUUGAGGCACAUCAAGGAUCAGCCACCAGUUGUUGCAGGAGAUGGACCAAUUGGCCUUAUUAUGGCCCCUACAAGGGAACUAGUUCAACAGAUUCACAGUGAUAUAAAAAAAUUUGCAAAAGUACUUGGUCUCAGGUGUGUGCCUGUCUAUGGAGGUUCUGGUGUUGCCCAGCAAAUCAGUGAAUUGAAACGUGGUACUGAGAUAGUGGUUUGUACUCCAGGUAGGAUGAUUGACAUACUAUGCACUAGUGGUGGAAAAAUAACUAACCUGCGUAGAGUCACUUAUCUGGUCAUGGAUGAGGCUGAUCGUAUGUUUGACAUGGGCUUCGAACCUCAAAUCACCCGAAUUGUUCAGAAUAUUCGACCAGAUCGACAAACAGUUCUCUUUUCUGCUACAUUUCCUCGUCAGGUUGAAAUUCUGGCUCGUAAGGUUUUGAACAAACCUGUUGAAAUACAAGUUGGUGGAAGGAGUGUCGUCAACAAGGACAUAACACAGCUAGUAGAGGUGAGGCCAGAAAAUGAUAGGUUCUUUAGGCUCUUAGAAUUACUUGGGGAAUGGUAUGAGAAGGGAAAGAUUUUGAUAUUUGUCCACUCACAGGAGAAAUGCGAUGCUUUGUUCAAGGAUUUGCUUAGACAUGGUUAUCCAUGCCUUUCUCUUCAUGGGGCCAAGGAUCAGACAGAUCGUGAAUCCACAAUUUCUGACUUCAAAAGCAAUGUCUGCAAUUUGCUGAUUGCAACAAGUAUUGCAGCCAGGGGUUUAGAUGUCAAGGAGCUUGAAUUGGUCAUCAAUUUUGAUGUUCCAAACCACUAUGAAGAUUAUGUGCAUCGUGUUGGACGUACAGGCCGAGCUGGUCGGAAGGGUUGUGCUAUAACAUUUAUCUCAGAGGAAGAAGCAAGAUAUGCACCAGAUCUGGUUAAAGCUUUGGAGCUAUCUGAACAAAUAGUUCCUGAUGACCUGAAAGCUCUUGCUGAUGGAUUUAUGGCAAAAGUUAAUCAAGGACUUGAGCAAGCCCAUGGGACUGGCUAUGGAGGCAGUGGCUUUAAAUUUAAUGAAGAAGAAGAUGAGGUAAGGAGAGCAGCAAAGAAAGCACAAGCCAAAGAAUAUGGGUUUGAAGAAGAUAAGUCUGAUUCUGAGGAUGAAGAUGAAGGUAUUAGGAAGGCAGGAGGUGACAUCUCACAGCAUCCUGCUCUUGCCCAGAUUCUAGUUGCUGCCACCAAAGCAAACACUCCUGCAAUGCCCUCUACUUCCCAGGUAGUUUCAAAUGGAGGACUGCCUGUUUCUUUGCCUGCUGUUCUUGGUCUCCAGACUGCAGGAGUCAUGCCUGGGACAGGGCUGCCCAUUGUUCCAAGUGAUGGAGCAACUCGGGCAGCAUUAGCUGCUAUGAACCUGCAAAAUAAAUUAGCAAAGAUUGCUGGUGCUAUGCCUGAGCAUUAUGAAGCUGAGUUGGAGAUAAAUGACUUCCCCCAAAAUGCUCGGUGGAAAGUCACACACAAGGAAACUCUGGGCCCAAUUUCUGAGUGGACUGGAGCUGCUAUUACCACCAGGGGGCAGUAUUUCCCACCUGGCAAGAUCCCUGGACCUGGUGAACGGAAACUCUACUUGUUCAUUGAGGGCCCCAGUGAACAGUCUGUUAAGAGAGCAAAAGCAGAAUUGAAGCGUGUGCUGGAAGAUAUAACAAAUCAGGCUUUGCAGCUUCCUGGUGGUGCUCAACCAGGCAAAUACUCUGUUGUAUAAUAGGGGAUCUUUUUAGCCUUUUUUGCAUGUUCAAUAUACUCCCUCCAUUACACUUGCCACUAGAUUUUCCAAGAGGUGGUGGUGGUGAUCAUGGUGCAGCAUUUUUGCAUUGGAGUCCAGUUUAGUAGGCCAAUACUCUGUUGUAUUAUAGUUCAGGGGAUCUUGUAAUCCUUUAUUGCAUGGUCAUUGGACUUCCUGGAUUACACUUGCUUGUUGAUGUUCCAAGAGGUGGUGAUGAUCAUGGUGAGACAUUUUUACGUCAGUCAAAGUAUAGUUUGGAUGAGACAUCACAGGAAACUUGCAUCUGCUGUGUGUUCUUGUGCAUACAAUGUAAGAUCUAUGAUGGGAAAGAAGGGAGACCAAGACAAAGAUGGCCAGAGGAAUGUUUAAAGAAUAUAUUUUGGUUGUGGUGGCAACCCUAAGAUUGAGAACUCAAUCCAAUAUGAAUUGGGUUCUUGAUUUUUCAUUUGGACUUGUUGGGGAUGUAAUGUGUUUAAAAAGAAAAGUUUGAUCUUGUUAGUCUUGGAAAACCAACAAUUUAUGGAACUUGAAAGUCUUGAAUUUUUAGCA